RNAcentral lists this non-coding RNA (328 nucleotides) under Triticum urartu. RNAcentral's name for it is "Bacterial small subunit ribosomal RNA". It matches the Rfam family "Bacterial small subunit ribosomal RNA", at positions 547 to 873 of the family's 1533-position model. Lineage: Eukaryota; Viridiplantae; Streptophyta; Magnoliopsida; Poales; Poaceae. The record is from Rfam by way of RNAcentral.
GGAAUGAUUGGGCGUAAAGCGUCUGUAGGUAGCUUUUCAAGUCCGCCAUCAAAUCCCAGGGCUCAACCCUGGACAGGCGGUGGAAAAUACCAAGCUGGACUACGGUAGGGGCAGAGGGAAUUUCCGGUGGAGCGGUGAAAUGCAUUGAGAUCGGAAAGAACACCAACGGCGAAAGCACUCUGCUGGGCCGACACUGACACUGAGAGACGAAAGCUAGGGGAGCAAAUGGGAUUAGAGACCCCAGUAGUCCUAGCCGUAAACGAUGGAUACUAGGUGCUGUGCGACUCGACCCGUGCAGUGCUGUAGCUAACGCGUUAAGUAUCCCGCC